GCAGCUUGUAUAUGAUGAAAACUAUGUUGGUAGGGACAUCUGAGACCCCAUGAUGUUUACCAACUUCUCUGAAUGUGUAGG
Molecule: small nucleolar RNA, 81 nt
Organism: Bufo gargarizans (Asiatic toad)
Lineage: Eukaryota; Metazoa; Chordata; Amphibia; Anura; Bufonidae
Product: small nucleolar RNA SNORD74
Exons: 1
Source: RefSeq, a predicted model, not a curated record